GUUAGUUAGAAACAUAGCCCUUCCUGGAGGAUCUUCCCUUUGAUAAAGAGAAAAGACUCACUAGAGGCUGGAUUGUCAGUGGAAGGGAGAGGAGGGGAACAGCCUGAUGCCGGGAGCCUUUUUGCUCACUCCCACCGUGAAGUCAAGAAAAGGACUGUUAUCAACACUUGCAAAUGAAGAAACAGAGGCCCAGAGAGAUCAGGGAUGUGUCCAAGGCCACCCAGCCAGAUGGCGGCAGAGCUGGGACAGGAUGUUGGUGCGUUUCACUCUAAGCUGGGUCUUUUCCAUAAUGCUGGCCUGCAGAGACUCUGCCUGGGCACAGGAGUGUGGAAAGGGUGAAGCCCAGGGAGGCGCGUGGAGAGGGUGGAUAAGGCAGGAGGUCCGGAAUCAGAGGACCUGCCUUAGGAGCCGAACACUGUCUCUUCCUCGGAAGGUAGUUAAUGCCUCUGAGCCUCUGCUUGCUCACUAGUAAUGCGGGGAUAACACCCCUGUCCACUCUCAUCCACCAGGAUUCCUGUGAGGACCAAAAAUGAGAGAAUGUGCUUGAAGAAUAGUUGCAAACUGCAAAAGGCUGCCCACAGGCUCAAUUCCAGGAAGCGAGGGCUGGACUCUCUCUGCACUGUUCACACCCUUCCUUUUGGGGAGGCAGCAGGCUCAGAAAUAGCCUUCGCUUCUAUCCUCCCCGCUUCCCCUGGGAUUCGGGCUGAGUGUUUUCUUCUUGAAAAACAAAAAAUCAAAGCAGUUGCAGAAAAACCAAAAGCUCUUUUCUGCUUCCCC
This 777-nucleotide long non-coding RNA is filed under the name Equus caballus (horse). RNAcentral's name for it is "lncRNA (ENSECAG00000056758.1)". Lineage: Eukaryota; Metazoa; Chordata; Mammalia; Perissodactyla; Equidae. The record is from RNAcentral.